GACUAGCACAAGGGGAGCCUUUUUGGCUGAGAGUGAAGUUAUUCAGACCCUUUGAACCUGUUCGUUAAUGCGAGCGUAGGAAUGUGUAGUAAAUCAGAU
This is a regulatory RNA element of 99 nucleotides. It matches the Rfam family "TPP riboswitch aptamer (THI element)". Rfam says of the family: Vitamin B(1) in its active form thiamin pyrophosphate (TPP) is an essential coenzyme that is synthesised by coupling of pyrimidine and thiazole moieties in bacteria. The record is from Rfam.